CGAACGGGUGAGUAACACGUGAGCAAUCUGCCCCUGACUCCGGAAUAACUACGGGAAACUGUAGCUAAUACCGGAUAUGCGCCGAACAGGCAGUCUGUAUCGGUGGGAAAGAAUUUCGGUCAGGGAUGAGCUCGCGGCCUAUCAGCUUGUUGGUGAGGUAACGGCUCACCAAGGCGACGACGGGUAGCCGGCCUGAGAGGGUGACCGGCCACAUUGGGACUGAGACACGGCCCAG
RNAcentral lists this ribosomal RNA (235 nucleotides) under uncultured bacterium. RNAcentral's name for it is "partial 16S ribosomal RNA". It matches the Rfam family "Bacterial small subunit ribosomal RNA", at positions 99 to 334 of the family's 1533-position model. The record is from RNAcentral.